RNAcentral lists this ribosomal RNA (88 nucleotides) under Lactiplantibacillus plantarum. RNAcentral describes it as "Lactobacillus plantarum partial 16S ribosomal RNA". It matches the Rfam family "Bacterial small subunit ribosomal RNA", at positions 1 to 87 of the family's 1533-position model. The record is from RNAcentral. Lineage: Bacteria; Bacillati; Bacillota; Bacilli; Lactobacillales; Lactobacillaceae.
AUUAAUUUGAGAGUUUGAUCCUGGCUCAGGACGAACGCUGGCGGCGUGCCUAAUACAUGCAAGUCGAACGAACUCUGGUAUUGAUUGG